CCCUUAGAUGUCCUGGGCCGCACGCGCGCUACACUGAGUGUCUGAGAUACGAGUCUGCCUGGUCCGGCAAGGUCUAGGUAAUCGCUAAAAGACACAUCGUGCUUGGGAUAGAUUAUUGCAAAUAUUAAUCUUGAACGAGGAAUUCCUAGUAAGCGCAAGUCAACAGCUUGCGUUGAUUACGUCCCUGCCCUUUGUACACACCGCCCGUCGCUACUACUGAAUGGAUGUUUAAGCGAGGUUCUCGAACUGCUAGCGACUUAGCUUCGGUAAGGUCGCAGUGUGGGAAGUGAACCUAGCUUUGGUGUCUAGAGGAAGUAAAAGUCGUAACA
RNAcentral lists this ribosomal RNA (329 nucleotides) under uncultured eukaryote. Its description in RNAcentral is "partial 18S ribosomal RNA". It matches the Rfam family "Eukaryotic small subunit ribosomal RNA", at positions 1470 to 1796 of the family's 1831-position model. The record is from RNAcentral.